UCCCUGGCAGUCCAGUGGUUAAGACUCCAUGUUUCCAAUGCAGGGGGCCUGGGUUCGAUCCCUGGUCAGGGAA
This 73-nucleotide transfer RNA is filed under the name Ovis aries (sheep). It matches the Rfam family "tRNA". Rfam says of the family: Transfer RNA (tRNA) molecules are approximately 80 nucleotides in length. Their secondary structure includes four short double-helical elements and three loops (D, anti-codon, and T loops). Lineage: Eukaryota; Metazoa; Chordata; Mammalia; Artiodactyla; Bovidae. The record is from Rfam by way of RNAcentral.